GGAACAUCUCAUUCUUAAAUUUUUCAAGGGGAAAAUAUAAAGGUAGCAAAAUUAUUGUCGUGGCUAAAUAACUCUUAACUGACACAAUUUCAAUUGUCCAACCCAUUAACAGACUUUAUUCCCAUAAUUUUCACUAAAACGUGGUAUUAUUCACGUUAUUUUACAAUUAUGAAAUAUUUACUAAUGUCAAUUUAUUUUUUAGAACCACAGUACUAUUUUUUGUCCUUUAAAUGAUAUCUUAAUUUGUUUGUUUCGCCUUUUAUUAAAAAAA
This 271-nucleotide long non-coding RNA is filed under the name Mytilus galloprovincialis (Mediterranean mussel). The record is from RNAcentral. Lineage: Eukaryota; Metazoa; Mollusca; Bivalvia; Mytilida; Mytilidae.